AGGAGCCGUAUGAAUCGAGACAUUCACGUACGGUUCUGUGAGAAUCUAGGGCUAAUAUGUCCGGGGGCAUACUCGAC
RNAcentral lists this non-coding RNA (77 nucleotides) under Cyclobacterium lianum. The record is from RNAcentral. Lineage: Bacteria; Pseudomonadati; Bacteroidota; Cytophagia; Cytophagales; Cyclobacteriaceae.